Molecule: ribosomal RNA, 254 nt
Filed under: uncultured bacterium
Lineage: Bacteria
Description: partial 16S ribosomal RNA
Rfam family: Bacterial small subunit ribosomal RNA
Source: RNAcentral
UACGGGGGGAGCAAGCGUUGUUCGGAUUUACUGGGCGUAAAGGGCGCGUAGGCGGUCAGCACAAGUCAGUUGUGAAAUCUCCGGGCUUAACUCGGAAAGGUCAACUGAUACUGUGCGACUAGAGUGCGGAAGGGGCAACUGGAAUUCUCGGUGUAGCGGUGAAAUGCGUAGAUAUCAGGAGGAACACCGGCGGCGAAAGCGCGAUACUGGGCCAUAACUGACGCUGAGGAACGAAAGCCAGGGGAGCGAAAGGG